This 402-nucleotide ribosomal RNA is filed under the name bacterium. RNAcentral describes it as "partial 16S ribosomal RNA". It matches the Rfam family "Bacterial small subunit ribosomal RNA", at positions 355 to 776 of the family's 1533-position model. The record is from RNAcentral.
UGGGGAAUUUUGCACAAUGGGGGAAACCCUGAUGCAGCGACGCCGCGUGAUUUAGAAGGCCUUCGGGUUGUAAAAAUCUUUUCUAUGGGAAGAAAAUGACAGUACCAUAGGAAUAAGGACCGGCUAAUUACGUGCCAGCAGCCGCGGUAAUACGUAAGGUCCGAGCGUUGUCCGGAAUCAUUGGGCGUAAAGGGUACGUAGGCGGGUAAGCAAGUUAGAAGUGAAAUCCUAUAGCUCAACUAUAGUAAGCUUUUAAAACUGCUCAUCUGGAGGUAUGGAAGAGAAAGUGGAAUUCCUAGUGUAGCGGUGAAAAGCGCAGAUAUUAGGAGGAGUACCGGUGGCGAAGGCGACUUUCUGGCCAUAACCUGACGCUGAGGUACGAAAGAGUGGGUAGCAAACAGG